This 253-nucleotide ribosomal RNA is filed under the name uncultured bacterium. RNAcentral describes it as "partial 16S ribosomal RNA". It matches the Rfam family "Bacterial small subunit ribosomal RNA", at positions 524 to 776 of the family's 1533-position model. The record is from RNAcentral.
UACAGAGGGCUCAAGCGUUGUUCGGAUUCAUUGGGCGUAAAGGGUGCGUAGGCGGCGCGGUAAGUCGGGUGUGAAAUCUCGGGGCUUAACUCCGAAACUGCAUUCGAUACUACCGUGCUUGAGGACUGGAGAGGAGACUGGAAUUUACGGUGUAGCGGUGAAAUGCGUAGAUAUCGUAAGGAAGACCAGUGGCGAAGGCGGGUCUCUGGACAGUUCCUGACGCUGAGGCACGAAGGCCAGGGGAGCAAACGGG